GUGUCAGCCGCCGCGGUAAUACAGAGGUCUCAAGCGUUGUUCGGAAUUACUGGGCGUAAAGGGUGCGCAGGCCGCGCGGGCAGUCAAAUGUGUAAUUCAGAGGCUCAACCUCUGGACUGCGCUUGAUACUUCCGUGCUCGAACCUUGGAGAGGGAUCUGGAAUUCUCGGUGUAGCAGUGAAAUGCGUGGAUAUCGAGAAGAACACCUAGGGCGAAAGCAAGAUCCUGGACAAGUGUUGACGCUCAUGCACGAAGGCUAGGGGAGCGAACGGGAUUAGAUACCCCGGUAGUCCUAGCUGUAAACGGUGCACGUUUGGUGUGGGAGGCAACCCCUCCUGUGCCGAAGCUAACGCGAUAAGCGUGCCGCCUGGGUAGUACGGUCGCAAGACUAAA
RNAcentral lists this ribosomal RNA (392 nucleotides) under uncultured bacterium. RNAcentral's name for it is "bacterial SSU rRNA". It matches the Rfam family "Bacterial small subunit ribosomal RNA", at positions 505 to 898 of the family's 1533-position model. The record is from RNAcentral.